CGUAUACAGCUGCGUUCCCUUCCGCUUCUAGGUCCCACCUCCAAUUUUUCAUCUUUGAUUUUGUUGCCAUUUUUGCCCUUGUCUUCACUUGUGAUUGUUUUGAGUUUCCGAAAUUGCCCUUUAAGACUUUUUGCAUUUCGAAUUCGCGUUCGACGUUGUUAGUGGACCGGCCCAAACUUAACCCGCCAACAUAAUUAGCACCAAUUUCUG
Molecule: unclassified non-coding RNA, 210 nt
Filed under: Hevea brasiliensis (rubber tree)
Lineage: Eukaryota; Viridiplantae; Streptophyta; Magnoliopsida; Malpighiales; Euphorbiaceae
Source: RNAcentral